GCCGUAGACAGGAGCAGUUGCGGAAUGCAUCUCUUGAAGGCUGGAUUGAAAGAAAAAAGGAUUACUGAAUGAAGUGUGGCCUUUAAGAACAGCUGAGCAAGAUGCAAGCGGGAAUACUGUGAUUAAAGGUAGUACUGAUCCAUGCUGUGGUAAAAUACACAUCAGGGUAAAUUUUCCAUCUGGCUGGUUCUCAGUGAUUUCAGAGGAGGCUGGCAUGGAUACAGGACACUUUGAAGAAGCUGUAGACAGCUCAUGCAAGCCUUAUUCCCGAGCAAGGACUGUAAUAUUUGCUUUACUGUGAGGUCCCAGGUUGGAAACGAAAUGAAAUUCUGAAGAUGUUAUGUCUUCAUCAUAAAGGCCUUAGCCCAUCAAAUGAAGAUGUCCUUGCCUGUACAGAAAAUAUGGGAUGCUAAAAGCUUUCCUGAAAAGUCAUUGAUGACAGUUCAAAGAAAAAAUACACAGAUGCUGUAAGCAGAUACCAAACCAAAUUCAGGAUCUCGCUCUCAACUUUCUAUCUGCAAGUCUGAGCUUGCUCAGCUGGAGAGGCUACCAGAAGCUCCAAGGUAAAAUCAGUAACUUUGCUCCUUGGGCAGAAGUAGACCCUUGACCCAGAACUUAACCCUAAAGCAAUUAAGCACUCACUGGUCAUCAUCUUGGACUGGGCAAAGACACCAAGUUGCAAUGACUACAAGUCAUCAGAG
Molecule: long non-coding RNA, 701 nt
Filed under: Gallus gallus (chicken)
Lineage: Eukaryota; Metazoa; Chordata; Aves; Galliformes; Phasianidae
Description: lncRNA (ENSGALG00010015077.1)
Source: RNAcentral